CCCACUCCCCACGCCGUUGCUCUCUCCCACACACACCCAACGCCACCACCGUCGCGUCGAUCCCGCGGCCACCGGCCUCCCUUGGUCGCGCCAAGAUGCCCAGAAGCAUCCUCCUCGUCGUCUCCUUCGUCCUCGAACAGUGAAUCAAGCCGGGAAGGCCCGUACGCUCGCCAUCGAGCUCGUCGUCACUGCAUACAUCAUCGUCACCGCCGUCGAUGGCCGCCACUUCGACCGUCCCCGGCCCCACCGACCACUGCGUCGUGACCACUGU
This 271-nucleotide ribosomal RNA is filed under the name Triticum aestivum (bread wheat). RNAcentral's name for it is "partial small subunit ribosomal RNA". The record is from RNAcentral. Lineage: Eukaryota; Viridiplantae; Streptophyta; Magnoliopsida; Poales; Poaceae.